Molecule: ribosomal RNA, 305 nt
Filed under: uncultured bacterium
Lineage: Bacteria
Description: bacterial SSU rRNA
Rfam family: Bacterial small subunit ribosomal RNA
Source: RNAcentral
AUGCCUACGGGACGCAGCAGUGAGGAAUAUUGGUCAAUGGGCGGGAGCCUGAACCAGCCAAGUCGCGUGAGGGAAGACGGUCCUAUGGAUUGUAAACCUCUUUAGGCGGGGAGCAAUGCCGGACACGCGUGCCCGGAGGGAGAGUACCCGCAGAAUAAGCAUCGGCUAACUCCGUGCCAGCAGCCGCGGUAAUACGGAGGAUGCGAGCGUUAUCCGGAUUUACUGGGUGUAAAGGGCGUGUAGGCGGGACUGCAAGUCAGAUGUGAAAAUUAUGGGCUCAACCCAUAACCUGCAUUUGAAACUGU